CCAGGAGAGAAAAGACCCCCCUGUGCCCCCCCCCCGGCCCCCCUUUCCCGGGCUUUGUUUGCGGGCAGGGAUCGGGUUUCUGCCGGGAACAAUGCCUGGAGCCGCCUCCACCCAGCUCCGGCCCCAGUGACACCAGGAGCCGCCGAGGGAGCGCCGGGAGCCGGAGCCAGAUGCAAACGAGGAGGAGAACUCCCAUUUUUAACAGCCAGGUGAUUCUGGAGCGUCAGAACAAACCCUGCCCAGGGGGAGCCGAGGGGUUUUUUUGCCCUCUCCCGACGUCUUUCAAGCCCAGACUGGAUGAUGGUUCCUGGGGAUGGGGCCGGUUCAAAGCACGGGGAGCUCGGAAAAGCCGCUGCCUUUGAGUCCCCAACCUCAAACACCCACUGGCUUUUUGUAUUCAAAUGCUCUGCCCCGAAAAAAUAAUAUAAAAUAAUAAAAGAAUAGAU
This is a long non-coding RNA of Lepidothrix coronata (blue-crowned manakin), 446 nucleotides long. RefSeq lists it as uncharacterized. The record is from RefSeq and is a predicted model, not a curated record. The transcript is spliced from 2 exons. NCBI's taxonomy places the organism in Eukaryota, Metazoa, Chordata, Aves, Passeriformes, Pipridae.